GGCAUGGGGAGCUGAUCAGCCCUACCGCGUGGGUGAGAAGGCCUUCGGGUUGUAAAGCCCUUUUGUUGGGAAAGAAAUCCAGCUGGCUAAUACCCGGUUGGGAUGACGGUACCCAAAGAAUAAGCACCGGCUAACUUCGUGCCAGCAGCCGCGGUAAUACGAAGGGUGCAAGCGUUACUCGGAAUUACUGGGCGUAAAGCGUGCGUAGGUGGUCGUUUAAGUCCGUUGUGAAAGCCCUGGGCUCAACCUGGGAACUGCAGUGGAUACUGGGCGACUAGAGUGUGGUAGAGGGUAGCGGAAUUCCUGGUGUAGCAGUGAAAUGCGUAGAGAUCAGGAGGAACAUCCAUGGCGAAGGCAGCUACCUGGACCAACACUGACACUGAGGCACGAAAGCGUGGGGAGCAAACAGGAUUAGAUACCCUGGUAGUCCACGCCCUAAACGAUGCGAACUGGAUGUUGGGUGCAAUUUGGCACGCAGUAUCGAAGCUAACGCGUUAAGUUCGCCGCCUGGGGAGUACGGUCGCAAGACUGAAACUCAAAGGAAUGGACGGA
This 552-nucleotide ribosomal RNA is filed under the name uncultured Stenotrophomonas sp. RNAcentral's name for it is "bacterial SSU rRNA". It matches the Rfam family "Bacterial small subunit ribosomal RNA", at positions 373 to 917 of the family's 1533-position model. The record is from RNAcentral. Lineage: Bacteria; Pseudomonadati; Pseudomonadota; Gammaproteobacteria; Lysobacterales; Lysobacteraceae.